This 449-nucleotide ribosomal RNA is filed under the name uncultured bacterium. RNAcentral's name for it is "partial 16S ribosomal RNA". It matches the Rfam family "Bacterial small subunit ribosomal RNA", at positions 29 to 523 of the family's 1533-position model. The record is from RNAcentral.
AACGAACGCUGGCGGCAGGCUUAACACAUGCAAGUCGAACGCAUCCUUCGGGGUGAGUGGCAGACGGGUGAGUAACGCGUGGGAACGUGCCCUUCAGUUCGGGAUAACCCAGGGAAACUUGGGCUAAUACCGGAUACGUGCGAGAGCAGAAAGAUUUAUCGCUGAAGGAUCGGCCCGCGUCUGAUUAGCUAGUUGGUGGGGUAAUGGCCCACCAAGGCGACGAUCAGUGGCUGGGCUGAGAGGAUGAUCAGCCACAUUGGGACUGAGACACGGCCCAAACUCCUACGGGAGGCAGCAGUGGGGAAUAUUGGACAAUGGGCGCAAGCCUGAUCCAGCCAUGCCGCGUGAGUGAUGAAGGCCUUAGGGUUGUAGAGCUCUUUCGUCCGGGACGAUAAUGACGGUACCGGAAGAAGAAGCCCCGGCUAACUUCGUGCCAGCCGCCGCCGUAA